GGAGGAGUCUGAGGCAGAUGGGUGGGGUGAGGGGAGCGGGGGGAUUCGCGGGGGCCCGCGGGGGGCACUGGCAGGAUUCGGAAGGGUGCAGUGUGGGAGCUCGGGGGCCGAGGGUGCAUGGCAUGGAGGCAGGAGCGAGGAAGGGGGCCCGAGGAGGGAUAUUUACCGCGAGGAGGCGCGGGAAGUGCUGGCGGAGGUGCUGUGAGGGUGUCUCGGAAAGGUGCUGGGCGAGGGGCGUCCAGGCGAGGGAACCGAGGGGCCUGGGACGUGAGUGCGGAGGGAAGCGGUGUGCAGAAGUGGGGGCUGCCCAGGAGCGGUAGUGACACCCAGACGGCCCGCAGAGGGGCCCGGGCGCGGCGCUGCUGUGAUGGAGACCGGGGAGCGUGGGGAAGGUUCGGAGAGGCCCAGGGCUGCGCUUCCCGGCUUGAGGGGUCCCAGGAGUGAGCGGGAUCGAGAGUGAUCUGUGCAGAGAGGGAGUCUGCGGACCGGGCCAGAGGCUCAGGUUGUUCGGAUGCUGGCGGGACUCGCGUCAGCAUUCGGCCCCAGAGCCCGCGUGAGGGGCGGCGGGUCCUGAAGGACCAACCUCCUGCACGUGAGGGUGUCGUGACUGAGAGGGGCCUGGGCAGUGGGCAUUUUCGGGUGCUGUGCAGCAAGGGGACCGGGGGAGUCCGUCGAGGGCAGAAGAGCGGAAGGCGCUGGUGGCAGACCGAGUCUGGCAGGGACUGUGCUUGUGCAAGGCAGCUGGCCACUGUCAGGCCUAGGACGACGGCCAGAGCGUGGGAGAGACGACAAAGUGCCCCCUCAGCCUGGGAGCGUCGGGGCCUUUGAGCGCCCGCGUCCUCCGCUUCCAACUUGCAGGCCACACUCUGCAGCCCCGUAAGCCGGGGGGGGGCGGGGUAGUGCCGCAGGAGGGCGGGCUCGGGGGUGGGGCAGGAGCGCUCGCGCGCGCUCUCCACGAAUCAGGAGGGCCUGGGAGGGCCUACAGGGCGCGACGUCGGUGGGCAGGGUUCAGUGGGCGGCCUGAGGCGAAGAGCUGCUUGCCGCCGCCUGCUAGGUUGCGCGCGCACUUCAGGCCUUGCGGGCAUGUCCAGCUCUUCUGUGGCUUCCAGCAGGCGAGGCCAAACAGGAUCUUUCUCACUUCCCUACAUCUCCUGGAUCCUGGAGCUGAUGCAGUCAGGUCCCGUGCUCACCGGGGGAACCGGCGAGCCUCUCCAAAGUAUUAAAGGACACUUCCGGAAGAGCCUUUGGCCUGUGGUCAGCCCGCAGACAUCGGUGGUCUCUGUACCUGUAGGAGCCCCAUGAGGGUCCAGGUGUGGGAGACAGUCCUGGGACAGGGCUUCUGCGGCCGAGGCAGGUGGGCAGGCACUCCAGGGGAGCUGCUGUAAAAGGUUCCUGACCAAGCUGGUGCUUCUGCGUGUGUUCCUGCAUGACUUGGUGUGUCCCCUUCUCUUGGAUCUGUCAGCCUGCACACAGGCCUGUGCUCUUCAAGACCACGCAGGCCUCACCAUUCCCUCUGACAGCUCACUGCUGCCCUUCUUCACACACGCAAGUUCCCUGUGUGACAUCUGAGUUGGUGACUGUGGCUUCAAAUGAUCAGGAAAGUAUGUUCCAGGCCCAUCCUCCACCCUCUAUUUCUCUGUCUCACAACACAAAUGUUAAGAAAUGGAUUUGUGUUGCUUUGUUC
RNAcentral lists this long non-coding RNA (1684 nucleotides) under Pan troglodytes (chimpanzee). Its description in RNAcentral is "long non-coding RNA NONPTRT011881". Lineage: Eukaryota; Metazoa; Chordata; Mammalia; Primates; Hominidae. The record is from RNAcentral.